UACGUAGGGGGCAAGCGUUAUCCGGAUUUACUGGGUGUAAAGGGAGCGUAGACGGCGAUGCAAGUCUGGAGUGAAAGCCCGGGGCUCAACCCCGGGACUGCUUUGGAAACUGUGUUGCUAGAGUGCAGGAGAGGUAAGUGGAAUUCCUAGUGUAGCGGUGAAAUGCGUAGAUAUUAGGAGGAACACCAGUGGCGAAGGCGGCUUACUGGACUGUAACUGACGUUGAGGCUCGAAAGCGUGGGGAGCAAAC
Molecule: ribosomal RNA, 250 nt
Filed under: uncultured archaeon
Lineage: Archaea
Description: partial 16S ribosomal RNA
Rfam family: Bacterial small subunit ribosomal RNA
Source: RNAcentral